AUGCAUGUUGAAUCAGAUAACCCAGCUAGCUCAGGCUUACCAUCACCUGUCAAGGUAGCAGUUGCUGAGACGGUCGAUGGAGAUGCCGAUGUCGCCGGCGCAGGGGCGUUCCGCUUUCUUUGCCAGCUGCUGCAGCGGGAGGCGGGCCACAACGGCGCGUGCUUUGAGCCGGACGAGAGAACCGUCGUGUCUCCGGCCGGUGGCAGCGUUGGGGACUUGGGGACGAACGGUCAGCGCACACCAUGCCGCAGAGUUGGGGAGCAAUCGUCGCUCCUGGCCGUGGCUGUGAGGCCGGUUCAUGGCGCUGCAGCUCAUCAGGGAAGAGGAAACCAGAUCAGGCAGGAAAUUAAAGGGAGAAAAAGAGGAGGAGAGGGGCGGAUCAAGUUAAAUUAG
RNAcentral lists this ribosomal RNA (393 nucleotides) under Triticum aestivum (bread wheat). RNAcentral describes it as "partial small subunit ribosomal RNA". Lineage: Eukaryota; Viridiplantae; Streptophyta; Magnoliopsida; Poales; Poaceae. The record is from RNAcentral.